GAUGAAGAACGUAGCGAAAUGCGAUAAGUAAUGUGAAUUGCAGAAUUCAGUGAAUCGUCGAAUCUUUGAACGCACAUUGCGCCCGUCAGUAUUCUGGCGGGCAUGCCUGUUCGAGCGUCAUUACGCCCCUCAAGUCCCCUGUGGACUUGGUGUUGGGGAUCGGCGAGGCUGGUUUUCCAGCACAGCCGUCCCUUAAAUUAAUUGGCGGUCUCGCCGUGGCCCUCUUCUGCGCAGUAGUAAAACACUCGCAACAGGAGCCCGGCGCGGUCCACUGCCGUAAAACCCCCCAACUUUUUAUAGUUGACCUCGAAUCAGGUAGGACUACCCGCUGAACUUAAGCAUAUCAAUAAGCGGAGGA
Molecule: unclassified non-coding RNA, 358 nt
Filed under: soil metagenome
Description: partial contains 5.8S ribosomal RNA, internal transcribed spacer 2, and large subunit ribosomal RNA
Rfam family: 5.8S ribosomal RNA (bases 1-120)
Source: RNAcentral